UGACCUCGGAUCAGGUAGGAAUACCCGCUGAACUUAAGCAUAUCUGGGGGGGGGAAGGAAAA
This 62-nucleotide ribosomal RNA is filed under the name Memnoniella pseudonilagirica. RNAcentral's name for it is "partial 28S ribosomal RNA". Lineage: Eukaryota; Fungi; Ascomycota; Sordariomycetes; Hypocreales; Stachybotryaceae. The record is from RNAcentral.